Long non-coding RNA from Lagopus leucura (white-tailed ptarmigan), 452 nucleotides. RefSeq lists it as uncharacterized. Lineage: Eukaryota; Metazoa; Chordata; Aves; Galliformes; Phasianidae. The record is from RefSeq and is a predicted model, not a curated record. The transcript is spliced from 3 exons.
GCUCAUCCGUGCUUCCCACACCUGGCGUUGGCUUUGCCUUCUCGGAAAAAAAAAGGUGCCCGCAGCCUGCUUACCCCCACUGCAGGAUCAAGAUUCCCUGCAAUUAAUUCCCUGAGUGCUGACCUCUAUGUCCCAGUGAGAAUCCAUCCACGUUAAGGAACUUUCCUCUUGAAGUGAACAAAUGUGCAAGGUUUGUUUUUCAGAUCAACAAGAAUCCUGAAGGGAAGUGCACCUUCUCCCUACCUCCUCUCCCACCUAGCAGCACUCCUCUGAACGCCAGCAGCCUGCAAUUGGCUUGACAUCACUGUGGCUACAGAGAGGCUUCUGAAAUUGUUUGUUUUCCUAACCAUAGUGGUAAAACAGAAUGGCUGGGUCUGUACCUUGUUCUGUCUGGAUGCGCACAAAGCAGUUGACCAUAACCCUGCACUGCUGGUCUGCCUGGAUCUGCUUGA